UGGGGAAUAUUGCACAAUGGGGGAAACCCUGCUUCCGCGACGCCCCUUGAGCGAAGAAGGUUUUCGAAUCGUAAAGCUCUUUCUUCUGGGAAGAUAAUGCCCGUACCAUAGAAGGAAGCCCCGGCUAACUACGUGCCAGCAGUCGCGUUACUACGUAGGGGGCAAGCGUUGUCCGGAAUCACUGGGCGUAAAGGGUUCGCAGGCGGAAAUGCAAGUCAGUUGUGAAAGGCAGAGGCUCAAGCUCUGUAAGCAAUUGAAACUGUAUUUCUUGAGAUGUGGAGAGGGAAGUGGAAUUCCUAGUGUAGCGGUGAAAUGCGUAAAUAUUAGGAAGAAUACCGGUGGCGAAGGCGACUUGCUGGACACAAACUGAAGCUAAGGAACGAAAGAGUGGGUAGCAAACAGG
This 403-nucleotide ribosomal RNA is filed under the name Fusobacteriota bacterium. RNAcentral describes it as "Fusobacteria bacterium partial 16S ribosomal RNA". It matches the Rfam family "Bacterial small subunit ribosomal RNA", at positions 355 to 776 of the family's 1533-position model. The record is from RNAcentral. Lineage: Bacteria; Fusobacteriati; Fusobacteriota.